CUUCUGCCUCCUGAAAGUUGGAAUUAAAGGUGAAUAAAGAACUGUUAACUUUUAGAAGAUAGAAAUUAAGAAGUCAGUUGGCUUCCCUAGUUAUGACUAGGCCAAUGAACCUAGAUGGUUACUUUCACAAGAAAUGACCCUUGGUAAAAGCUCUUGCCUAAACUGUGGGCCGUGUUGCCUGCAAUUGUGAUCUACUUUAUAUGGAAGGUGGGGAAAGAAAAGUGGGAGUCUUGAAAGUAAAGAUUAAAUGCUGUCACUGCUGGGCCUGGCAGCUCACACUAGUGUUCAGGAGGUAGAGGCAAAGAGAACUGCAGGUUUGAGUCCGGCUACAUAGUUGAGACUAUCUCAAACAUGGACUGCUCUCCUUCCCCACAGAUCUGCCGGCUGUGUUUUGUUUGGGUAUAUUAUGAGGAGGAAAUAGUGUUUCCUAGCCUUAGGUUUCAACCUAACCUGUUCGCAUUUCUUCCACAUCCCCCUCUUCUAGAAAGUGAAUGAUUGAGUCACACUAAAAACAGGCAUACUACCUAGUUUUGUGACUGUACCAUAGUAUUUAGUGCUGUGCCCAUUCAAAUACUGGUUGUUUGCAACAUCCCCAAACCAGGCAUCUUGCACAUGCUCUUUGAGCGUGUAAUAAUACUACUCUAGACUGGUGCUUCCAGAAAUGGGACGACUGGGUCCUGAGCGUUUGCAGUUGGUGCCAAGCAUUAUAUUACAGAUGCACAGAUGGAUACCACAGGCCAGAAUGUCUCCAUCUCCCCACUCCUCAUCAGCCCUCAGUACUGCCUACCUUGUGUUUUGCCAGAGAUGCAAGCAAUUCUCUAGUAUCUGCAGAGUUUGGAUUUCUCAUUCCGUGUAAAAAUGCAUGUUGGCCAUCUGAGUUUCUUUUCUGAAGUCAGUUCUCGGGUCCUGAUGCCACUGAUCUUUUGAGUCUGUCUUUCUCGUUUGACGUUUUAACAUGAUUACUAGCUGUGUUGUGUGAGCGCACACUCUCCCAGUCUGUUUGAAAUCUCCAUUUAGCUUUGCAUAUUGAGCCUCUCACAAUUAGCAUUUCCCUUUAGUUUCUAUGAGAUCAUCCCACAUAUGAUUCCUGAUGUUUAAGUGUUUUUAUUGUUUGGUUGGGUUUCUGUCUGUUGAGACAUAGUUUUCCUCUGUGGCUAUGAACUCAGCUUUGUAGCCUAGCCUGGCCUCAAGCUCAGGACAGUUCUGGGAGUUGUUGACUGCCUCACUCUUGAGUGGUUUUUCUGUUUUGUUUUUUCCUCUUGCCUAGUUUUAUAUUUCUAGCUUUCAGAAAUAUAGUCUAUGAUGCCAGUGGCUAUACUCACUGUCGACAAGGCUUCACCGUUGCCCAGCCUCUCCACGUGUCACCGUUGCUCUGAUGAGUCUUGAGUGCCACAGUGGGAAAGUGGAUGGGGAGCUGUCUUAGGUUACAGAGGAAACCUUGACAGCAGACAGGAAGAUACCUCCUUCCUCUUGCCAUUUUAAGAGGAUUUUUCUUUUUCUUUUUUUCUCUCUAUGUAUAUACAUCUUUUGAUUUUUUUGAUCCAUAGUAUUGAUAAUUUCCUUUUCACAGAGUUGUACCAAUGCCAUGCCCUUUGUCAAACACUGAUGACCCAGCACAUGUGUCUGCUUCUACUACCUACUGAUACCCUGUUGCCUUUUGUCUAAACUCUUACAAAGGCUACACUGUUGGUUACUGUAGCUCCAGUGCGGAGUUCUGGCCAGAAUGUACUCUCUUCAUUUUACUUGAAUUUGGUUCUUUUUAGUGAAAGUGGAAUUAAACUGUACUCUUGUAAAUAGGUCCAUUCUGGAAUGUGAAGUGGGUAACUCCUUAUGGUAAUGACUUUUCUUCUGUAUACAUGUUAUGUAUGUGGGGGCUGCGUGCUGAUGCCACAGUAAGCUCUCAUUUCACCAUGUGUGUCCCAGGGAUCAGACUCAUGUUGUCAGUCUUAAUGGCAAGCUUUUUGACCUGCUGAGCCAUCUUGCCAGCCUGUUUGUUAUAUACUUUUGAACUAUAAUUCAUUCAUUAUAUUGCUCAUUUAAUUUCAUCUACCACAUGGUCCCCUUUUUUCCUUAUGCAAGUUCAGUAGUAAAACUCAGUCUUAAUAAUUAUUCAAAGUUUAGAUAUUUAUGAUUUUGUAUUUUGACUUUUAAGUCCCACUCCUUAAUUGUCUUCAGGUCAAGUAUUCCACCCUAACCCCAGCUGGUACAUAUGUCAGUUCCUUUGAAGUGACUGUCUCUAGACUUUUCCUAAUUUAAGGCACAUUACCAAGGAAGACUAACCAUGUAGCGUACCCGUAUCCCCAGCACAGAUCUUGAGUCGCUUGAUAGAAAGGAGGAAAGGCUGGACUGAAGCAGUUCUGAUGCUGUGCUUUUCCCAAAUAUGUCUAGGGUUGGGGAGCUGAAAGAAACAUGUCAUUAAAUGGUAUCUUAAAGUUAAAUGUAUUACAAACUGCUUUUUAAGUAUCCUGCAAUCUCUGAAUUUUGAAGCAUCCGUCUGUCAGUAGCAUUGUAACUGUCGUUAGCAAAGCUGUCACGAUGUAUGGCUGCGCCCACUUGAUCAGUCUUGUUCCUGUUUCAGUUCAGAACUGAGGGCUGUAUACUGUUUGGACUACAUUUGUUACAGUCAAGUGCUGUGUAAAAUUAUUUCUGAAGGAAUACCCUGACUUGGCAUUCAAGUCAAAGUCUAAGGCUUAGUAGCCACUUGCAGUGGUGUGAAGUGAGUUUUAGUAAAGCCUCACUCCAUAGCUGAGCUGUCGUUUUUCUUUAUGAUACACAAUGCAUGUAAUGUUAGCAUUGGACGGAGUCUCAGGAGGACAGCCUGCAGCUGAGUCAUGUAGACGUAAGUCCAGAAGCCGUGCAGGUGGACUGGAGAAGGCUGGCUGUUUAUGUGGAGACAAACUUGCUGUGUGUCUUCACCUGUGUCUCAGCCUCCCAUGCCAUGGGAUUACAGGCAUAUGCCACUGUCCUAGCUGGAAAAGACAUCCCAACAUUAGCACAUGAGGUUGGGUAGCAGUUAUAAAGCGAGUGAGUGUUGUGUUCUGUAAUUUUCUUUUUUCAGUUCAAACUCAUUUCCCUUUUAUUAUAAAAGUCUUAAGUUGCUGUUAAUGUGGUUUUAUACUGAGGGACAGCAUGUUCAAAUAAAAUGUUGCCGAGUAUCUUAUCUGUUUUAGUCAAGUACCAGUAAGUCCUAGGGAAGCUCAGUAAUACGAGUUUGCACUUUGUUGAUACACAAUUCCUUUUGGGUGAAGAUUCCAAGUUCAUUUAAAGUGGAUCCAAUUUUCUGUCCAUGUACUGGGAUUUUUUUUUUAAAAAAGGCAUUUGAAUGAAAACAAAAUAAGAAACAAAAUCAAUUAAAUGGUUCGGAAUCUUCUAGUGAAGGUGUCAAUUUAUACAUGGGUAGUAUACAAGAGGGUCCUUUUUUCUCACUUUCCCAUUUUGCAUAUUUUCAGUUUGGUGAGUGAAUAUCAAAUGGUAUUUUUGUGGUUUAAGUCUCAAUUAUUAGAUAAUAUAAUGUGAACUUUUAGUCUCAUAUUUGUCCAAGUAUAUCUUUAACUUUGCUUAUAUAGUCUAUUAAUAAUCAGUUUUUUACAUUUAGGAAGUUAACCUUAGUCUUAACAUAGCUAUGAAUUAUUCCCUCCACCACACUGAUGCUGCUUAUGGUUUGUGCAGGAUAAUGAGGGGCGGAGCUAAGAGCAAAGGUUACCUGUCCUUCAGGAGUAACUGAAUUCCUAAGAUGAGCAUGGUGUUGCAGCAUCCUCUAGACCUUAAGUCAUGCUGUGGUUUUCCUUUUGCUUGGGUAGCUUUCCCUCAAGCAGAGGAAGGGCUUUGAGCUCUACUGCAGAGAAGAGCUGAGAGGUGCAGAGCCGAGCAUACCCUGAGGUUCUGUUCAAACUGGGUGAUGCUUUUUUGAUGUCACUCUGAAGGUUUUUAAGUAGUUUAGUUUACAUAGACUGCAAAGAUCUUACAUGUUAAACUUGAACUUUAAGGAGUCGUUGAUAUGCAAAAGUUUAGAAUGUUAUCAUUUUCUUCAACAGUUUUACCAACCUUCAAUUCCAUACAAUGACAAUGUUUUCCUAUUAUGAAUGGCAGACUUGAGCACGUCUAUUUGUAAAGCCAGCUGAGAACUCUGGUGACAAAGCAGAGGCUGAUCGACCUACCAAGAGCCCGGAAGUACAAAGAAGAACAAAAAAGUCUUGUCCUGUUUUUGUAAACUUGAAAGAAAAAAAGAGUCGAGCAUUCCACCAGUGCAGUCUGUUCUGCUAUGAGCUUUAAUCUAGCCCAUGAGAGGAGGCGGAGGAGAACUUCCACCUUGCCCUGCCAACCUAGCCUUUCCAUGUUCAUGCAAUAAACGCAUUUGGCCUCUUGGUA
This is a long non-coding RNA of Grammomys surdaster, 4368 nucleotides long. RefSeq lists it as uncharacterized. NCBI's taxonomy places the organism in Eukaryota, Metazoa, Chordata, Mammalia, Rodentia, Muridae. The record is from RefSeq and is a predicted model, not a curated record. The transcript has 2 exons.